This is a non-coding RNA of Canis lupus familiaris (dog), 2428 nucleotides long. Lineage: Eukaryota; Metazoa; Chordata; Mammalia; Carnivora; Canidae. The record is from the annotation of a RefSeq genome assembly.
CUUGCCUUCCUUGGUCCUGGCUUCAAGGAGAUUGUUGAUCAAUCAGCGCUGGCCCAUGAAGGGCCGAUCACAGCCUCAUAUUAACUGAUGCUCAGGUGUGUUUGCCAUGAACUCGUUUCUUGCUGCAAAGGCCUUUCUUGGAACAGUGUGAGGAGGCUUCAGUGGGGCAGCCUGAAUAACCCAAGCCAGGGGCAGAGAGAGAGGAACGCAGAGGAAAAUAGAGAAGCUGUAGGGGACCCUGGCCCAACGCUACCUGGCCCAACCCUACCUGGCCUAGCUGGCAUGGCCAGCCGUACCUGCCCAGCAGACAGCUGGACAGAAUGGAGGACAGCCUGCAGCAGCUGAGCCUAUUCAGGGAGUGCAAGGUGCCUGCAAGAGCCUAAAAGGACAGUGAUGUCAGAACACUGACGUCACAGGCAAGCCCUCCAAACAGAGAUGAGAGAGGAGACCAGAGCCCCGAGUAGGAAGAUGCCGGGCCCUGUCCUGCCUGGGUCUGCCUGGGGUGCCCAGCUGCUCUGCUGUGUGGCCCUCUGUCUCCUGUGGACAGGUCCAGUGGGUGCUGGAGUCAUCCAGACCCCCAGACACCUAAUCAAAGGCAGCGGGGGGAAGGCUCUUCUGGAAUGCCAUCUCGUCUCUGGACACAACACUGUGCGCUGGUACAAGCAGGCCCCGGGACAGGGCCCCCAGUUCCUCUUUGAGUAUUAUAGACAGGAGCAGAGAGACAAAGGAGACGUCUCCGCACGAUUCUCAGCACAGCAGUUCAGUGACGCCAGCUCCCAGCUGGAGAUGAACCCCCUGGAGCUGGGAGACUCAGCCCUGUAUCUCUGUGCCAGCAGCUUGGCACAGCCCUGCGGUGUGACUGGCUUUCUGUACUCAAACUUUCCUGUCCCAGCUGAGGAUAUAAGGGGGGGGGGUGUUCUUAGCCAAGUUCCAGGGAUGCAUUUAGUUUCUUUUCUAACCCUCUGCCUUGCUGAGCUCAGCCAGAGCACCCCUGAACAUGUGAGCCCCAGAUUCACUGAAUAUUCUCGAAAUCCCUAGCUGAUGGCAAGAGCUCCUGUGCUGUGCUACAGUGUAAGUGUAACUGUAAUGCAAGAUAGACAUAGCAUGUCCAUUUUACAGAUGAGGAAGCUCUCAGUAUGCCAUGUUACAGAUAAGAAACAGUAGUAGUUCAUGGACUUUCCAAAGAUUUCGUAUUUAAAGUCUCAGAGGCAGGAGUCGAAUCCAAGUCUCCAUGCCUCCGAAACCAAUAUUUCCUUAAAAUUGCAUGGUGUUAUCUGGGCCUUGGGCAGUAAGAUGUAGCAGACCACUGUCUUCCAUUUCAGUACUGGCUGUGGUGGGGAGGGCUCACAUCAUGGUGUGGGGGUUUCUUCUCUUUUUUUUUUUUUUUAAUUUUAUUUAUUUGUUCAUGAGAGACACAGAGAGAGGCAGAGACAGACAGAGGGAGAAGCAGGCUCCCUAUGGGACUUGGAUCCCUGGAGUGGGAUCAUGCCUUGAGCAGAAGGCAAAUGCUCAACCCCUGAGCCACCCAGGCACCCCGCUGGAGUUGGGUUUCUAUAGCUACUGCCUGCCCACUCCUAGGACUAGCUUCAAGCCAGAGAAUGUGUGUUUGUUCCAUCAUAGUUCCACUAGGAUGGGGCCAAGGUAGCCCCCAAUACAGGAGCUAAGUGAUUAGGGAGUUUCUAGUCUAUCAGAGGAUUCAGCCAAGGAAACAGGGGCCCUCCAGGAAUCUCAAGCAGAAUGGGAGUUAAUACAGGGAAUAGUGCUUCUAAACCAUAAGAAGUUCUAGAGGAGGAAGGGUCCUUGGAGGCUGCAGCUCACUCACAUGUCUAGCACUUUCUAUCAGAAAAGCUGCAAUUGUUACUUCUUGCCCAGGCCAGUCACUGCAGAAAACAGCAGAGAGCCACAGCUAAUAAAUGUGUGGCAUAGCCAUUUACAGGUGGCAGGUACAAGUUUAUUGGCGAACACACACUGUUUUAAUCCUAUUCCUUUUAUUUGAAGUUAUAGAAAAUUCACUUAUUUAUUGCUCAUUUUUCUCUGUGGCACGUACUUAAGUGCAUUAUUUCAGUUAAUUUUCUUGAGACCCACAUGAGACAGGACAAUUUAUCCACACUGCAGGUGAAAAUACCAGUGGCUAGAGUGUAGGUCAUUUGCUGAAGGGGGCCCAGCUCACAGAUAUUGGACUGGCACUCAAACCUAGGCCACACUGACUUAACUGCUACGCUUCUGCAUUUUGGUAGAGGGAGACAUCUGCGCAACUGGAAUACUGACCCAAAAGUGCCUUCCAGAAACACUGGCCCUGAUACAGUCAUUUGCACAGGGUUGCUACCUACUGAAGAGGACUUCCAAGGUUUCAAUCUAUUCAUAUUCUGACCUGCCUUGGACCAGUGACCUGGAAAAUAUCUGGCUUGGUUUUCCCACUUGUAAACUA